CCUACGGGAGGCAGCAGUGAGGAAUAUUGGUCAAUGGGCGCGAGCCUGAACCAGCCAAGUCGCGUGAGGGAUUACUGCCCUACGGGUUGUAAACUUCUUUUGUAGGGGAGUAAAAUGAGGCCCUGUUUCCUUGUUGUAGUUCCUGUAUAAAUAGCAAUCGGCUAACUCCUUGCCAGCGGCCGCGUUAUUACGGGGGUUCCGGGCUUUAUCCGGAUUUAUUGGGUUUAAAGGGAGGGUAGAUGGGUUGUUAAGUCAGUUGUGAAAGUUUGUGGCGCAACCGUAAAAUUGCAAUUGAUACUGGCAGUCUUGAGUACAGUGGAGGUAUGCGGAAUUCGUGGUGUAGCGGUGAAAUGCUUAGAUAUCACGAAGAACCCCGAUUGCGAAGGCAGCUUACUAAACCGCAACUGACAUUGAUACUCGAAAGCGUGGGUAUCAAACAGGAUUAGAUACCCGAGUAGUC
This 460-nucleotide ribosomal RNA is filed under the name uncultured bacterium. Its description in RNAcentral is "partial 16S ribosomal RNA". It matches the Rfam family "Bacterial small subunit ribosomal RNA", at positions 338 to 795 of the family's 1533-position model. The record is from RNAcentral.